AUGUCGCCUGUCGCGGCGCACCGAGCCUCUCCGGCCAUGUGGUCCCCGCAGCCUCCGCCGCCCCGCCUCCAGCUCCGGCGACCGGCGGGGACGCCCCUUCACUCCUCGCGCCGCCUCAGCCGCAUCGCCGCAUCGCAGGAGGACCCGCUGACCGCGCUGACCCGAGUGCUGUGGGGCCGCGCGCUGCCGCCGUCGCAGCUCGUGCUCGCCGUGCGCCACGGCUGGACCUCGGCGUGGCGGCUCCUCAUGCGCCAGCUCGCGCCCUCCGACCCGGCCACGGGCGCCUUCACCCGCACCCCGUCCCGCUUCCCGGCCGUCGCACAGCCCGCGCCCGGCCCCGGCGCGCGCCUCCACCUCUACGUCGGCCUCCCCUGCCCCUGGGCCCACCGCGCGCUCCUCGUCCGGGCCCUCCUCGGCCUGGGCCCCCGCCUCCCGGUCUCCGUCGCCGUCCCCGGCGACGACGGCGCGUGGUCCUUCACGCCGGAGAGCCCCGACGCGCUCUACGGCUCCCGCAGGCUCCGGGACGUGUACGCCGCCCGGCGCGGCGGGUUCGAGGGCCGGGCGUCCGUGCCCAUGCUCUGGGACUCCGACCGCCGCGAGGUGGUCUGCAACGAGAGCAUCGAGAUCGCCAAGUUCCUCUGCACGCUCGCCGACGACGGCGCCCUCGACCUCUGGCCGCCGGAGCACCGCCAGGAGAUCGACCGCUGGUACGGCGUCAUCUACCCGAGCGUCAACAACGGCGUGUACCGGUGCGGGUUCGCGCAGAGCCAGGCGGCCUACGACGCGGCGGCGGCCGAGCUGUUCGACGCGCUGGACAUGCUCGAGGGCCACCUCUCCGGGUCCCGGUACCUGUGCGCCGGCGCCGGCGUGACGCUGGCCGACGUGUGCCUCUUCACCACGCUCAUACGGUUCGACCUGGUGUACAACCCGCUGUUCCGGUGCAGCCGGAGGAAGCUGGUGGAGUACCCCAGCCUCCACGCCUACAUGCGCGAGAUCUACCAGCUGCCCGCCGCCGCCGAGACCUGCGACAUGGCCGCCAUCGCCGACGGGUACUUCGGGACGCUCUUCCCGCUCAACCCCGGCGGGAUCCUGCCCGUUGUGCCGGCGAGCUGCAGCCGGGAAGCGCUCAUGAAACCUCAUGGCAGAGAGGCAUUGCCUUCUGCUGCUGCUGCUGCUGCUGCUGAUGGUAGACAGCUAGGAGCAGCUGCUAGUAUUGUUGGCUAG
RNAcentral lists this ribosomal RNA (1224 nucleotides) under Triticum aestivum (bread wheat). RNAcentral describes it as "partial small subunit ribosomal RNA". Lineage: Eukaryota; Viridiplantae; Streptophyta; Magnoliopsida; Poales; Poaceae. The record is from RNAcentral.